CCUACGGGUGGCAGCAGUAGGGAAUUUUUCGCAAUGGACGAAAGUCUGACGGAGCAAUGCCGCGUGAGUGAUGAAGGUUUUCGGAUCGUAAAGCUCUGUUGUAAGGGAAGAAUAUGUGAGUUAGGAAAUGAACUCAUAGUGACGGUACCUUACCAGAAAGGGACGGCUAACUACGUGCCAGCAGCCGCGGUAAUACGUAGGUCCCGAGCGUUAUCCGGAAUUAUUGGGCGUAAAGAGCAUGUAGGCGGUUAAUUAAGUCUGGUGUGAAAUCUAGUGGCUCAACCACUAAAUUGCAUUGGAAACUGGUUAACUAGAAUACUGGAGGGGCAAGUGGAAUUCAAUGUGUAGCGGUGGAAUGCGUAGAUAUAUUGAGGAACACCAAUGGCGAAGGCAGCUUGCUGGACAGAGAUUGACGCUGAGAUGCGAAAGUGUGGGGAGCAAACAGGAUUAGAUACCCCGGUAGUC
This 465-nucleotide ribosomal RNA is filed under the name uncultured bacterium. RNAcentral describes it as "bacterial SSU rRNA". It matches the Rfam family "Bacterial small subunit ribosomal RNA", at positions 338 to 795 of the family's 1533-position model. The record is from RNAcentral.